This 234-nucleotide unclassified non-coding RNA is filed under the name Ascomycota sp. RNAcentral describes it as "partial contains small subunit ribosomal RNA, internal transcribed spacer 1, and 5.8S ribosomal RNA". The stretch from base 1 to 47 matches the Rfam family "Eukaryotic small subunit ribosomal RNA", at positions 1785 to 1831 of the family's 1831-position model. The record is from RNAcentral. Lineage: Eukaryota; Fungi; Ascomycota.
AAAGUCGUAACAAGGUUUCCGUAGGUGAACCUGCGGAAGGAUCAUUACAGAGUUCAUGCCCUCACGGGUAGAUCUCCCACCCUUGAAUAUAUUACCUUUGUUGCUUUGGCGGGCCGCUCCGUCCACUGGCUUUGGCUAGUGAGUGCCCGCCAGAGGACCCAAAACUCUGAUUUAUAGUGUUGUCCGAGUACUAUAUAAUAGUUAAACCUUUCAACAACGGAUCUCUUGGUUCUG